RNAcentral lists this ribosomal RNA (536 nucleotides) under uncultured bacterium. Its description in RNAcentral is "bacterial SSU rRNA". It matches the Rfam family "Bacterial small subunit ribosomal RNA", at positions 8 to 523 of the family's 1533-position model. The record is from RNAcentral.
AGAGUUUGAUCCUGCUCAGAACGAACGCUGGCGGCGUGCUUAACACAUGCAAGUCGAACGGGAUCCAGAGCUUGCUCUGGUGAGAGUGGCGCACGGGUGAGUAACGCGUGGAUAACCUGCCCUGGUAUCCGGAAUAACAUCUCGAAAGGGGUGCUAAUACCGGAUAAGCCUACGGAGCCCUCGGUCUCUGCAGGAAAAGGUGGCCUCUAUUUAUAAGCUACCGUAUCAGGAUGGGUCCGCGUACCAUUAGCUAGUUGGUGGGGUAAUGGCCUACCAAGGCGACGAUGGUUAGCUGGUCUGAGAGGAUGAUCAGCCACACUGGAACUGAGACACGGUCCAGACUCCUACGGGAGGCAGCAGUGGGGAAUUUUGCGCAAUGGGGGAAACCCUGACGCAGCAACGCCGCGUGAGUGAUGAAGGCUUUCGGGUCGUAAAGCUCUGUCAGAGGGGAAGAAAUGAGAUUGGCUAAUAUCCAAUUUUCUUGACGGUACCCUCAAAGGAAGCACCGGCUAACUCCGUGCCAGCAGCCGCGGUAA